CGUGUGCGUCGCUCCGGUAGCCCCGCCUCUUCCGUUUCUGGGACGCCGGCUGCAUAACGUGCCUAGGAGACCCUGGAAGCCCCGUGCCGCUGCUCAUCAUUCCCGGGAGUGACACGUGACUCGGAGCGGAGAUGCCUCCUAAGAAAGUAGAUGAUGGACCAAAGCAGCAUCCUAUCAUUGGACGAUUUGGGACCUCUCUGAAGAUUGGUAUAGUUGGACUACCCAAUGUGGGGAAAUCAACUUUCUUUAAUGUGUUGACUAAAAGCCAGGCUGCCGCCGAGAACUUUCCAUUUUGCACCAUUAAUCCAAAUGAGAGCCGAGUGCCCAUCCCUGA
Molecule: long non-coding RNA, 334 nt
Organism: Nanorana parkeri
Lineage: Eukaryota; Metazoa; Chordata; Amphibia; Anura; Dicroglossidae
Exons: 3
Source: RefSeq, a predicted model, not a curated record